GUUGCACUGGCCGUAGCAGAAGCGGUUGAGCACCGUGCGGCUGCGGCAGCCCUCCUCGCCCACCGUCUGCCGCAGCGGCUGCGUCUUGCACCAGUCACUCUUGAGAUUAGAAAGCUGAGGCAUUGCGAGACUUUCUAACUAACCCAGAUCGACAGCUGCUAGUAUGUGAAAUAUUUGAAUCCUUGCUUCCUGGCUCCAGGUCCUGUCGUCAUCAGGGGGAGCAGAGCUAAAACUCAGCUCGAUUUGGGGCAAAAACUCUUGGAGUCCACAGUACUAGAUGUGGUGAUUACCAACAUGCAUUCUUUGAACACUUGAAAACAGUUUCAGAACAUCUGGCACACAGAACAGUUCUGCCUCAUAAGCACCUAAGGAGGAAAGCAAACCGCCCAUUUUCAGGAUGGGGAAAAGAGGUGGAGGAGGCUGGAAGGCUGGGGCCAAGCGGGUGCUUCUUUCCUUCCUCCCGCACAGCGCCUCUGGCAUCUCAGUGUCAGAGUCAAUAGGCAAGAGGCAUUUUGCUGCAGUGACUGGUAGGCUGUGAUCUCUUCACUUCAAGGAAGGGAAAGCAGCUGAGCCAUCUGCUGCCCUGACCCAUUGUCCCCUUCUAGGUGGGUGGGGUUCCCUGGGGAGAGAACCACUGGCUUCUUUCUUCAGCUCACUGACCAUCCGUGCACACGUCAGUGGCCCCACCAGACCCUGAUUUUAGCCUUCCAGAGUCCUGCUCUGCCUUGAGUCACUUUGCUACUCAGAGAAAUGGUUGGCAUGCAGUUACCCUCUCAGGAAUGCUGCCACCCUGCCAGUAUGGACAGCACAGAGGUACUGCAUUUCACCAUGUAUCUUGUGUUUGGCUUGUAUCAGAAGAAACUGGUAAAUAAGUUCUGUGGUUUUAUCCACCAUCCUGGUGGACUGACAACGUGGUGAAUUUGCAAGGGUGUCAGGACCGAAUAUGCUGAGAGGCUAAGCAGCCUGGGUUGGUCAAAGCAGGCUAUGCAAAGAGGUAGUGAAGUGCUUCCCCUGGGGCUCGGCCUUUGUAGAUUCCAGAACCAGGGAGUCACAGGGCAGAGCAGUCUAGUAUUGAGGCUGCUAAAAAAUAACUGGCCCCUUCUGGAAGCUCUUCUUAAGAACUUUCAUGGGGUUCUACAAUAGGAGCUUGAGAAUAAAGCUUCCUAAUUACUAGAAAAGGAUGUAGCAGUGCCGAAUCAUAUUUACCAAAAAGUCUAUGCAGGUGACCAAAGGCCAAGGGUGCACUUAAGCCGGUUAACUCACUCCCAGUGACCCUGUUGAGUUUUAGAGGUCAGGUCAAGGUGUUCUGGGCCACGCAUGAGUGGCGAAUGAUUUGGGGCUCAAACUUUUUCUGUGACCUUAGAAUUCUAGGGCAUGUUUGGAAGGUUGAAGGCAAGCACCCAGGGCUGAAUAUGGGCAGAUACAUCUAGGAUAAACUUCCUCCCAUGGCCCAAAUGAAAACAGAAUCAAAAACAAAGAACUCCAAACAAAAGCCCCCAAAAUGCUAGAAUUCAGAGAUUAGUUUUAUGAAUUUUACUACUAGAAUUCAGUAAGCAAAGGUACUUCAUCUGUGACUGGGAUUCUUAGGCUGGGAGGGCAGUGGUUUAGCUCCUGAACUAGACAUAAAUAUUCCUUGGCCCGAGACUGUCCUCUUACUGUAAGACUGCCUGUCUGCUGAAGCCACUUACCUUCAGCAACUGUAAUUUGUGGCAAACAGUAGCCUGGGGCCAACCCAACCUGAGGUCUGUGUGUGUAAAUACAGUUGUAUUGAACACAGCCCCGCCCAUCUUAUUUACAUUUUCUCUGGCUGCUUUUGUGGGAGGACAGAGAAGGAGAGACAGAAACGCUAUUGGCCCACCACAUAAAAAACAUUUACUAUCUGGCCUUUGACAAAACCGUUUUGCCAAACCCCGUUCCAAACCCUCCCUCUCCAAACCAGUUGUUGCCUUUUUUGCCUUUGGGCUCUCUUGCUGGAAAAGGAGACAAUUUCUAACUGAAACAUUUCAAACAUAGAGCAAGAGCGAACAUAGAACAAACCCUAUACACGCACCAUCAAGAUUAAACCAAUAUUAAUAUUUCUCAUCUUUACUUUGCAAUCUCUUUUAGUUUUGAAUGAAAUAAAACAAUAUAGGUGAACCUGUUUCAUCCUCCCCUCCUUCUACCCUCAUUGAGAUGACCUGCAUUCUGAAGUUGGUAGGUAUCAUUCCCAUUGAAGUGGCUUUUACUGCUUGUUUUGUGGAUGACUGUGUGUUUGUGUGCACAUGUUUAACCUUCACCUAAAUAGUACCAUGCUCUCCUUUUGUACCGUUUUCAUCCAAAAACAAGUGUCUGAGAUUUUAUACGUGUGCAUAUUUUUAGAAGGAGUCUCUUCAUCUCUGCUGCUGAAUACCUGGCUGAGGGACACUUAGGUUUCUUCUCCUUUUUCCCUAUUGCCAAUGGCACUGCUCUGAACAUUUUUGCAUGUGUUUAUGUCCAUCUGUUAAGAGUUUUUCUAGAGGAGACACCGAGAAUGGAAAUGCUGGGUCAUGGGAUAUGUACAACUUGAGCUUGACUAAGUUUUGCCAAGUCACUUUCCAAGUGCUGACCAGUCUUCUCCCCAGGGUAAUAUGUGAGUCCUGGGGCUGCACAUACUUGCUCACAGCUGGUGGUACCAGACUUAUUACUUUUUGCCUAUCUGAAAAAAUUGGAAUGGCAUCUUAGUAUUUUAAUUUGCACACUUCUGAUUACAAGAGAGUUGAUCACCAAGCUGAAAUGCAGUAGUUGUACCCUGAAAAGGAAAGAGGGCAACUUAUUCCAAGUAGAAGAGAGGAAUUAAAAUAUCAGGGAAGGAAAAAUAAGUACUAACUAUGUAUCUUCUGAACUGUCAUGGGAAGGAUAGGAAGUAGCUUGCAGUUUCAAAGCAGAGCUAUCAGGGCAUCCCACACGACUCAGAGUUUGAAAUCCAAAUGUAUUCACUUACUUUUCCAAGUGACAUUUGCCUGAAUGGAACACUGACUAUCAUUUUGUUCCAGGAGAUGUUUAAUUUCAUCUGGAAAAAUCAUAUUAUGUUUUUAGAAAAGGUUUUCAACCAAAGAAGAAAUGAUACUGUCGUUACUUUGACUUCUGGAUAGCAAGCGUAUCAUUUGCAGAGUUCUUAAUCUUUGAAGAAAUUGUUUGGUUAAACUCAGUCCGAGAAACGUAGCACUGAGGCAAGAUGGGAGCAAAGUGUUAUGGUUAAUAAGAGUGGGUGGGAAAGCGCCUUGAGAGGUGUGAGCCUUACACACGCAUGGCUGCUUUUCUCUAGAGCAGGCCCUCUGGGAGUGGGAGUGAGAAUGUGGUUUCUGGGGCCGGAGCUGCCCAUCUCGUGACCCUACAUGACUCACUCCCAGGCUUCUCCGGGUUCCCCUCUGUAAAAUAGUGUUAAUGGCACUUACCACCCCCUGUUCCGAGUUGCUGUUAUGAGGAAUGUGGCACUGAGAUCAAGUCAUAGUCCAAGAACGCUCUGAGCAAAAGGAACCUUGAGUUUUAUUUGAGAGGAAGGAAGAAAUUACGAGCAAUCCAUUAAGGAUUUUAUAGCUGGUAACAUUGUUCUCUGCUGCUGUGAGGUAGAACCUUUGACUUUUUUCAGGUGAAGAUGGUAGGCUGUUGCUCAAGGGACCCAUCCUGCUGCAGUGUGUCUGCACUGCCCACCCGACCUCCUCCCCUCCUGAGGCAGCCUUGCACGUUCAGGGUGAGCUUCUCAGGCAGCAGGCUUCUCCUCCGCAGUGGGCUAUACCGAUUUUCUGUCUGAGCGUACGUGAAAACUAGAGUGGUCUGUCUCCAGGGCUGUGAACAAAACCAAAAACCCCGGCACUCAGCCCUUUUCAAUCAUGCCCCAUCCAGGCUUGGUCUUCAUUUUGCUCGGUGUGCAUAGGAAUGGUGACAAAACUGUGUGCCCACUUUUUACCAACUCUGGAAUUCAUCACCAAAGUGUUCUUUCUUCUUUCUCUUUAGUCUUUCAAUCUCUUCUCCUGAUUUUUCUUUCUCUGGCUUCUUCUUAAAGGUUGGUGUUCCCUGGGGGCCCUUCCAUAAUCCCUUUUUCUCAUUCCUCACAUUCCUACUAAGGAUUUCAUUUGUGCCUCUGACUUCAGCCACCGGCUAUCUGCUGAUGACUCCCAGACCCUUUGCCCAGCUGCCUACUGAACACUUUUGGAUGUCCUCUAGGCACCUCAAACUCCAUGCAUUCCAAAUCUCAUUUUCUUCUCUUCAGACAGUUCCUAUCCCAGUGAACAGCACAUUUAUCCUUGCACCCACCCCAGGGAGCUGAGCUAAGGCAGACCCUGUUACCUUACUACCUGAGAGCCAAAGUUCUCUUUCCUCUUUGCUAAAAGAGGCACAAUUUUGUUCAUAUAUUGGAGUCCAACUUCUUUAUGGGCGCUUCUUGAUACCAUCAGUGGGACUUGAUUGGUCUGAGCCAAUGACUGACAAGAUGUAAUGAACAGCUUCCUGGGAAAGAUGUUGACUCUCCCAUAAAAAGAGACAAGCCAGGAGAAAAUAUUGUUCCGGCUUUUGGUUGUGGUUAUGCAGGUGCUUGAUGUCAGGCAACGACAGCCGCCAUAAGGGUACAAGCAUGGGGUGAAAGUCAGAUUUUUGCAGUAUAAACCACAACAUGGAAGGCAACUGGAUUCGUGAUUAUAUUGUUAAGCCAUUGAAUUAACCAUCCCUGGGAUGGCUUAUCUCUGACCUUCAUGUUUGUGAGUUAGCAAAUUCUUCAGUACUUAAAUCGCUUUUCUUUGGGUACUGGAGAGCAUUCUACUUUAUCCUCUCAUAUAUUAAACCCAUUAGCAAGAACUUAACUAUCCCUCCUGCCUCACGGCCCAGCCCCACUGUUACUACUUUGGGUUAGGUCCUUACCACUUGAAUAUCACAAGCCUCCUCAUGGGCCUAUAAAUGUGUACUGUUACUUCUUUUGGCUGAAACCUUGUUUUGUGACUACUGCUGGGUAUUUUCAGUUUCAUUCAAAUGCCACGUCCUCUGUGAGAGCAAGCAUGUUCCCUGUGGUUUUCACUUCUGCCAUCGUCAUACCUGGCUCCUUACAUCCGGUAGACCACCAUGUGGCUGUUUUCUGCACGUCCCCCCGGGGGAGUGUGAGUUACUGGAAGGCAGGCUAUUCAAUCUUCUUCCCACCUUGUCUUAUGAUAGGUCUGGAAAAUAGCUUUGAAUUCUAUGUCUGCAUGAAUAAAUGCAAGACUGGAUGAUCAAAUAGGUUUUGCCUACACUGGUAUUGAUGUGAAUUUUUUUUUUAAAUGAUAGACAGGAACUCGAAACUGGGUAAGCUUUUCAGUAGCAGUGAUUUUUACAUAAGCCUUUAAUCAUAAUGAUUUAAUACAUAUCUAGCCAUCAAAGUCAGAAGUUAACACAACUCAACAGUGGAAUAUUUUUGAAAAUCCAAUAAACAGCCACCUAGGACUCAGUCGUAAUGUGUUGGCAGGUCCUUGUCCUCCUUCCAUGUGGUCUGUCCACUCUGUUCCGUCUACCACUGGCCUCAUGCCAUCUCUCAUCUUAAUUCCUCCAGCAAAUCUUCUCGGUAAAUGGUUUUCCAACUGGCAGAUGUGCAGCCGAGGGAUUACAGGAAAGCUUUCCAAGCAGGAGUGGUUCAGGAGUAGUUUUAGAGGAAUCAGUACUCAAAUUCUCAACCUCCAUUUGUUCCUUCUUUUCUAAGAGAUCCACAUGGGAAGUGUCCACAGUGGGAUGGACAAGCCCUCCUUCCCUGCCCCUCUCAGCAUCCCCUUCUUGCACUGGCCAGAAGGAGGAGAUGGCCCCCACCCAGCCCCUUCCACCAUGUUGUAUUGCCAGGGGUCUAACAAAGUUUCUAGGGCACCAAACCAAGGGAGGCUUCUAAAUAUUGGUGCGCUCACUAAAAAGCAAGUGACCAAUGAGUACAUCUUUUUUUCAGGCCAGCUUGUUUCCAAUAAUUUCCUUUAAAUCAAAAUUGAAGGAAGUGCUAAUUAAAUUGUCAGCUGAUCUAUCACCAAAAAUAGUCUUGAGAUGAUGAUUUUUCCCAUAUAAGUCUGAAAAGCUUAAGGCAGUCAAGAAAUUGAGACAUUCAUUGCUGCUAAAAAACACAUUUCUGUUGCACUCUCCUUUUGUGACAAAUUUCUUUAGUAUAUAUUGUGCACACAAUAUAAUCAUACCCCCCCACACACACUCACACAAUAGAACAUUUCUGCUGACCCUUAUUUCUUCCUGGCAAUAAAAAGUAUUCAUUCAUGAAAACAAGUAACAGCAAAAAAUCUUCAUGUAUGGGGUAUCUCUUUAAGAGAGGCAUAUAAUUGGUAUUUACCUUUCAUAGUUAAUAAUUAUUUACUGAAUUUUUAGCAUAGUUAUAUUAUUUUCAUCAAAUACUUCUCUACAAUCUAAUAAGUGACCAAUCCACAGGAAAGUUUUGAAUCCUGUGGCUUUAUGGCAACAGAAUUAAAAUGAAAAUUUAUAUGCAUACAUUUUGUCAUGGAAAAGAAUGACAGGGUGAAAAUUAAGACUUUUAAAUCUAAAGCCUGUUCUCUUAGGAAAAUGUGGCGAGGACUCAAGAUAAAUAUGAAUCCAAAGAGUAUUUCCUAUCAAGGAGUAUGUUUACAUGUAUUUUAAAAAUGCAUAAGAGCAGACAUAAAAUAGCUAUAGUAUUUAGCAAUUACAGUAUUUAGAUUACUCUGAAGACAUUAAGGAGAGUAUUAUAACGAUUUUAUUUUCAAACAUCAACUCUGUAAUAUUCUUUAAAUGAUAUUCACUAUAAAGUUUAGGUGUCAAACAGUUUGUGAGAGGGUAUGUCAAUUUAAAGAAAUGUUUGGAGAACAAUACACUGAAGUAUAUUAUUAUUAUUAUAUUAUGUUGUUGUUUCUAAGCAUGAGAAUUGUGUUAACGACACUGGGGAAAAUGAAAAAUUCUUCCUUGCUUUCUUUGACGCAUAAAAACUUUACGACCACAAGCAAACGUUAUGAAGAAAGACCCUGGGCUUUGUUCCUCUCCUAUUCCCUUCCUUACCUCUCUUGAAUUCUGCAACCUCUCUUUUCUGACAGUUUUUCAAAACACUCUGUGGGCAUAUGGGCUCAUAGGGGACUGGAAAGUCCCAUAUGAAGUAAUCUAAUUGAAACAAGUUUGGUGCAGUUGGUGCUAAGUCUUAGGCACCCUGCCUUUUCUAAGUCAGCUCCUAUUGACAACUGAGGCUGAAUCCAGGCAAAUCUGAGGGCAAAUCCAAGGCGGUUGACCAAAGAAAACAAAUGUAACCAGAGGAAACCAGGAGAUGUCAAUCAUGCCAAUGAACAUGAGUCAUGGAAAAAAAUUUUUUUUAAGUGUCAAAAACCUAUUUUAAAUGAAUGCUAAUAUCAAAAGCGGUGUCUAUUUAUACAUAUGUCAUAGGCAGCACUUUCACUAACGCUGUAAGAAUUCACUGAUCCAUUCAUCCAUCCCACAUGUUUCAGGCAUUUUCCUGGGGUUGAGAUGCAAAGAUGAAUAAGACAUGGAUUUCAUGCCAGGAAUGAAAUAAAUAAGCAGAAAGGGACAUUAACCUGGAUGUGGGAGACUAGUCAGUCUGCUCUUUGAGAAAUCCAUGAAAAAUAAAAUAAUGUUGCCAAGGGGAUGGACUAGAAGGAAACGUUUUAGAUAUUUGGGUGCUGACUUGUCAAAGGGACUGGAUGGACAUGGGAUGAGGCAGAGGAGGUGUCUCCGUAUCUGCCUCAGGCAGCAGGAUGACAGGAGCCAGGCUGAGAUUUCCCUUGAUUUUCAAUAAUCAGCCUUCUCCCGAAGCAC
Molecule: long non-coding RNA, 7761 nt
Organism: Manis pentadactyla (Chinese pangolin)
Lineage: Eukaryota; Metazoa; Chordata; Mammalia; Pholidota; Manidae
Exons: 3
Source: RefSeq, a predicted model, not a curated record